CCUGGUUGAUCCUGCCAGUAGCAUAUGCUUGUCUCAAAGUUUAAGCCAUGCAUGUAUAAGUCCACACGGCUGGAAAAGUGAAACUGCGAAUGGCUCAUUAAAUCAGUUAUGGUUCCUUUGAUCGCUCACCCGCUACUUGGAUAACUGUGGCAAUUCUAGAGCUAAUACAUGCAAACGAGCGCUGACCUCCGGGGAUGCGUGCAUUUAUCAGACUUAAAACCCGCGCGGGGCGCUGCCGCGUGGUGGCCCCCGGCCUGUUUGGUGACUCUAGAUAACCUUGGGCCGAUCGCUCGCCCUCGCGGCGGCGACGACUCAUUCGAAUGUCUGCCCUAUCAACUUUCGAUGGUACUCUAUGUGCCUACCAUGGUGACCACGGGUAACGGGGAAUCAGGGUUCGAUUCCGGAGAGGGAGCCUGAGAAAUGGCUACCACAUCCAAGGAAGGCAGCAGGCGCGCAAAUUACCCAUUCACGACACGUGGAGGUAGUGACGAAAAAUAACAAUACAGGACUCUUUCGAGGCCCUGUAAUUGGAAUGAGUGUACUUUAAAUCCUUUGGCCAGUACCAAUUGGAGGGCAAGUCUGGUGCCAGCAGCCGCGGUAAUUCCAGCUCCAAUAGCGUAUCUUAAAGUUGCUGCAGUUAAAAAGCUCGUAGUUGGAUCUCGGGGCCGGGCUGACGGUCCGCCGAAAGGUGCUACCGACUGUCCGGCCCUGCACUCGGCGCCCCCUCGAUGCUCUUGGUUGAGUGUCUUGCGGGGUUCGAAGCGUUUACUUUGAAAAAAUUAGAGUGUUCAAAGCAGGCUCA
This 802-nucleotide ribosomal RNA is filed under the name Gadus morhua (Atlantic cod). RNAcentral's name for it is "SSU rRNA". It matches the Rfam family "Eukaryotic small subunit ribosomal RNA", at positions 3 to 788 of the family's 1831-position model. Lineage: Eukaryota; Metazoa; Chordata; Actinopteri; Gadiformes; Gadidae. The record is from RNAcentral.